CUUCAGCCCAAGACUGCAUACAUCUCUGAAUAAAACGCCGUGGAGAGAAGUACAUUGGCUGCAAAACACUGAGGAGCUAUGAUGCUUAAACCUUAAACCUUGAGGAAAUGUCUUGCUGCAGCAGAAGACAUUGCAGAAAGUCAUCUUUCUCAGCCCCUUUGAAAUGCACCAGGUGGAUAAUUAGGUGCAGGAAGCAUUCAGUGUCUUGGCGUGAUUUGUAUGCUAAGCAAUGAAAACCAGCACUGCUGAAUCGUUAUUACCCUUGAACAUCAAAGCAGGCUAUUAGAGAAGGGCUGGAAGAGCUCCAGUGAUAGCCAUGGGCCCCAGAAGCUCGUGGUCGUCGCUGGAGGCAUCCCUGCAGGAGUGGAAGUCCCGGUGGCGAGCAGGAUGAAGAACGGAUUCCUAUAAUUUAAACACCUGGAUCGGAAAACUCAUCAGCGCAUUUAGUCAUUAUAGGAAAACCAGUGGCUAAACUGGUACUAUGGGCAGCUGAACAUGUGAUUUCCCGUGGUCAGUGAAGAUGCAUUGCACUUAGCUGUGCCCCUGGUCCUUCAAGUCCCCUGUCCAGAAGUGACACCCUUUUUCAACAGCCACAGACAUAGAGAGGAGACCAAACAUCUGAUCCUACGGCUACAAAAUCGCAUACACUUCCACUUUACUUGAAGGGAAGCCCUCUGCCACCUUCACAGACCACCCUACCCACCAAGACCACCAACCCCUACAAGCCAGGUGCUCCCGCAAGGCAAUAAAGCUCAUUCCUGCUCUUGGAUGUCGUUAGUGACCUCC
Cuculus canorus (common cuckoo) is the source of this 786-nucleotide long non-coding RNA. RefSeq lists it as uncharacterized. NCBI's taxonomy places the organism in Eukaryota, Metazoa, Chordata, Aves, Cuculiformes, Cuculidae. The transcript is spliced from 3 exons. The record is from RefSeq and is a predicted model, not a curated record.